This 370-nucleotide ribosomal RNA is filed under the name uncultured organism. RNAcentral's name for it is "bacterial SSU rRNA". It matches the Rfam family "Bacterial small subunit ribosomal RNA", at positions 526 to 897 of the family's 1533-position model. The record is from RNAcentral.
CGUAGGUGGCAAGCGUUGUCCGGAUUUAUUGGGUUUAAAGGGUGCGUAGGCGGUUUUCUAAGUCAGCAGUGAAAUACGGCAGCUCAACUGUCGAGGUGCUGUUGAUACUGGGGAACUUGAGUACUGAUGAGGUAGGCGGAAUGGACGGUGUAGCGGUGAAAUGCUUAGAGAUCGUCCAGAACACCGAUAGCGAAGGCAGCUUACUAAGGAGUAACUGACGCUGAGGCACGAAAGUGUGGGGAUCAAACAGGAUUAGAUACCCUGGUAGUCCACACUGUAAACGAUGAUUACUCGAUGUGUGCGAUACACACGCACGCGUCUUAGCAAAAGCGAUAAGUAAUCCACCUGGGGAGUACGCCGGCAACGGUGA